CAGUCGCCGCGGUAAUACGAAGGGGGCUAGCGUUGUUCGGAUUUACUGGGCGUAAAGGGUGCGUAGGCGGACUGAUAAGUCAGGGGUGAAAUCCCAAGGCUCAACCUUGGAACUGCCUUUGAUACUGUUAGUCUUGAGUUCGAGAGAGGUGAGUGGAACUGCGAGUGUAGAGGUGAAAUCCGUAGAUAUUGGGAAGAACACCGGUGGCGAAGGCGGCGACCUGGUCCUUGACUGACGCUGAGGCGCGAAAGCGUGGGGAGCAAACAGGAUUAGAUACCCGCGUAGUCCCUGUCUCUUAUAC
RNAcentral lists this ribosomal RNA (301 nucleotides) under uncultured bacterium. RNAcentral describes it as "partial 16S ribosomal RNA". It matches the Rfam family "Bacterial small subunit ribosomal RNA", at positions 509 to 807 of the family's 1533-position model. The record is from RNAcentral.